GCGAUGAGCUGAUUUGUGUAAGACGAGGAAUGCAAUACAUGUGAAUGUGAACACAUUAUUCUUCGCCACAAAUAUACGUAGAAAACGCCUGUAUUUAUACAGGCGUU
Molecule: small RNA, 107 nt
Filed under: Oceanobacillus picturae
Lineage: Bacteria; Bacillati; Bacillota; Bacilli; Caryophanales; Bacillaceae
Description: BsrF
Rfam family: BsrF
Source: Rfam by way of RNAcentral